GUCCUUUUGAAUUUAAUUUAAGGUUUAACCUGCCCACUGAAAUUAUUUGAAGGGCCGCAGUAAUUUGACUGUGCAAAGGUAGCAUAAUCAUUAGUUUUUUAAUUAAAAGCUUGUAUGAAAGGUUGGACGAGGUAAAUUCUGUCUCUAUUUAAUUUAAAUUAGAAUUUAAUUUUUAAGUUAAAAAGCUUAAAUAUUUUUAAAAGACGAGAAGACCCUAUAGAUCUUUAUAUUAAUAAUAUUAAUUUUAAUUAAGAAUAUUUUAUUUUUUAAUAUUUAUAAUAUUUUAUUGGGGUAAUAAAAAGAUUAAAAUAAUUCUUUUUUUAUUUUUACAUUAAUUAAUGAUUUUAUGAUCCAAUUUUAUUGAUUAAAAGAUUAAGUUACCUUAGGGAUAACAGCGUAAUUUUUUUAGAGAGUUCAUAUCGAUAAAAAAGUUUGCGACCUCGAUGUUGGAUUAAAAAUUAUCUUAGGUGCAGAAUUUUGAGAUUUUGGUCUGUUCGACCAUUAAAUUUUU
This 511-nucleotide ribosomal RNA is filed under the name Agabus affinis. RNAcentral describes it as "partial 16S ribosomal RNA". The stretch from base 388 to 511 matches the Rfam family "Bacterial large subunit ribosomal RNA", at positions 2473 to 2597 of the family's 2925-position model. The record is from RNAcentral. RNAcentral also lists the same sequence under 1 other name. Lineage: Eukaryota; Metazoa; Arthropoda; Insecta; Coleoptera; Dytiscidae.